RNAcentral lists this ribosomal RNA (482 nucleotides) under uncultured bacterium. RNAcentral describes it as "partial 16S ribosomal RNA". It matches the Rfam family "Bacterial small subunit ribosomal RNA", at positions 28 to 507 of the family's 1533-position model. The record is from RNAcentral.
GAUGAACGCUAGCGGCAGGCCUAAUACAUGCAAGUCGGACGGGAUUCAGGAGCUUGCUUCUGAUGAGAGUGGCGCACGGGUGCGUAACACGUAUGUAACCUACCUUUAUCAGGGGGAUAGCCUCUCGAAAGAGAGAUUAAGCCCGCAUAAAAUCACAGCACAGCAUUGUGUACUGAUCAAAUAUUUAUAGGAUAAAGAUGGGCAUGCGGAACAUUAGCUAGAUGGCGGGGUAACGGCCCACCAUGGCGACGAUGUGUAGGGGAUCUGAGAGGAUGGCCCCCCACACUGGUACUGAGACACGGACCAGACUCCUACGGGAGGCAGCAGUAAGGAAUAUUGGUCAAUGGACGGAAGCCUGAACCAGCCAUGCCGCGUGCAGGAAGACGGCCCUACGGGUUGUAAACUGCUUUUAUACGGGAAUAAACCCAGAUACGUGUAUCUGGCUGAAUGUACUGUAAGAAUAAGGAUCGGCUAACUCCGUG